GCACAAGCGGUGGAGCAUGUGGUUUAAUUCGACGCAACGCGAAGAACCUUACCUGGGCUCGAAAUGUACAGGAAUCCGGUGGAAACAUCGGCGCCCAGCAAUGGGCCUGUAUAUAGGUGCUGCAUGGCUGUCGUCAGCUCGUGUCGUGAGAUGUUGGGUUAAGUCCCGCAACGAGCGCAACCCUUACCCCCAGUUGCCAUCAUUAAGUUGGGCACUCUGGUGGAACCGCCUCGGAUAACGGGGAGGAAGGUGGGGAUGACGUCAAGUCCUCAUGGCCUUUAUGUCCAGGGCUACACACGUGCUACAAUGGCCGGUACAAACCGUCGCAAAGCCGCGAGGUGGAGCUAAUCGGAAAAAGCCGGCCUCAGUUCGGAUUGGAGUCUGCAACUCGACUCCAUGAAGCUGGAAUCGCUAGUAAUCGCGGAUCAGAAUGCCGCGGUGAAUACGUUCCCGGGC
RNAcentral lists this ribosomal RNA (456 nucleotides) under uncultured bacterium. Its description in RNAcentral is "bacterial SSU rRNA". It matches the Rfam family "Bacterial small subunit ribosomal RNA", at positions 923 to 1379 of the family's 1533-position model. The record is from RNAcentral.